Molecule: ribosomal RNA, 253 nt
Filed under: uncultured bacterium
Lineage: Bacteria
Description: partial 16S ribosomal RNA
Rfam family: Bacterial small subunit ribosomal RNA
Source: RNAcentral
UACAGAGGUCUCAAGCGUUGUUCGGAUUCAUUGGGCGUAAAGGGUGCGUAGGUGGCGCCAUAAGUCAGGUGUGAAAUCUCGGGGCUCAACCCCGAAACUGCAUUUGAUACUGUGGUGCUCGAGUACUGGAGAGGAGAUUGGAAUUUACGGUGUAGCAGUGAAAUGCGUAGAUAUCGUAAGGAAGACCAGUGGCGAAGGCGAAUCUCUGGACAGUUACUGACACUUGAGCACGAAGGCCAGGGGAGCAAACGGG